AACGAACGCUGGCGGCAUGCCUAACACAUGCAAGUCGAACGAGACCUUCGGGUCUAGUGGCGCACAGGUGCGUAACGCGUGGGAACCUGCCCUUAGGUUCGGAAUAACUCCCCGAAAGGGGUGCUAAUACCGGAUAAUGUCUUCGGACCAAAGAUUUAUCGCCUUCGGAUGGGCCCGCGUUGGAUUAGCUAGUUGGUAGGGUAAAAGCCUACCAAGGCGACGAUCCAUAGCUGGUCUGAGAGGAUGAUCAGCCACACUGGGACUGAGACACGGCCCAGACUCCUACGGGAGGCAGCAGUGGGGAAUAUUGGACAAUGGGCGAAAGCCUGAUCCAGCAAUGCCGCGUGAGUGAUGAAGGCCUUAGGGUUGUAAAGCUCUUUUACCCGGGAUGAUAAUGACAGUACCGGGAGAAUAAGCUCCGGCUAACUCCGUG
This 433-nucleotide ribosomal RNA is filed under the name uncultured bacterium. Its description in RNAcentral is "partial 16S ribosomal RNA". It matches the Rfam family "Bacterial small subunit ribosomal RNA", at positions 29 to 507 of the family's 1533-position model. The record is from RNAcentral.